AAUAGAUACCCAGGUAGUCCACGCCGUAAACGAUGUCGACUUGGAGGUUGUUCCCUUGAGGAGUGGCUUCCGGAGCUAACGCGUUAAGUCGACCGCCUGGGGAGUACGGCCGCAAGGUUAAAACUCAAAUGAAUUGACGGGGGCCCGCACAAGCGGUGGAGCAUGUGGUUUAAUUCGAUGCAACGCGAAGAACCUUACCUACUCUUGACAUCCAGAGAACUUUCCAGAGAUGGAUUGGUGCCUUCGGGAACUCUGAGACAGGUGCUGCAUGGCUGUCGUCAGCUCGUGUUGUGAAAUGUUGGGUUAAGUCCCGCAACGAGCGCAACCCUUAUCCUUUGUUGCCAGCGGUUAGGCCGGGAACUCAAAGGAGACUGCCAGUGAUAAACUGGAGGAAGGUGGGGAUGACGUCAAGUCAUCAUGGCCCUUACGAGUAGGGCUACACACGUGCUACAAUGGCGCAUACAAAGAGAAGCGACCUCGCGAGAGCAAGCGGACCUCAUAAAGUGCGUCGUAGUCCGGAUUGGAGUCUGCAAC
Molecule: ribosomal RNA, 534 nt
Filed under: uncultured bacterium
Lineage: Bacteria
Description: bacterial SSU rRNA
Rfam family: Bacterial small subunit ribosomal RNA
Source: RNAcentral